UGUGGCGCUAAUACGCUUCCGUAGCUUUUGGCAAGAGACACACACUCAUUUCACGAUUGUAUCUAUACUUAUAAUCAAUGCACAUAAGUUAUGGACUAGUACUGCACCCGUGUUAACUAGCAUUGGGGGUCGCAUGUCAUUGUCCAGAUACAUUUGUACUAGCAAUAGUGUUUUUUUAUUGUAUUUUUUUGUGUGUGUGUUUUUUUGUUUUUUGUUUUUUUCUUUGAGGGGGGGGGGGCUGUAAAACUAUUUAAGUUUGGUGAACCUAUGGUCUAGUUUGUUAGGACAACAGUUGUGCGCUCGAAAAAAAAAUGCAGUUGCUAUUUUCAUCAACUAAGAUAAAUAUUGGGAUGCCCCUGACCACUAUUACAAUUUUUCAGUAAAAAAAAGAAUGUUGACACACAUCAUAUGCUAUGAGAAUUCAAAGACGAUUCAAGUAGAUCAAAUAAAAAUUUACCGAGCGUUCCGAGAAGGAUAAAGAGUAUUCUAAGGGUUGCAAGCGCAACAUGAGUUUAAGGGCUGUCAAUCCUUCUAAGAUUGCUACUAGAUACACUCUUAGCAGAUAAGAAUAAUCUUAGCACUAAGAUUGUGCCAAAACUAAUUUAUGACAGACUGAAUGCUUCGUUUUUAUCAACCAAGUUUCAUUAACCAUUUACACAAAAAAAAUAAGUUUGAAUGUUAACAACACAAAGAC
RNAcentral lists this long non-coding RNA (694 nucleotides) under Mytilus galloprovincialis (Mediterranean mussel). The record is from RNAcentral. Lineage: Eukaryota; Metazoa; Mollusca; Bivalvia; Mytilida; Mytilidae.